AGAGUUUGAUCAUGGCUCAGGAUGAACGCUGGCGGCGUGCCUAAUACAUGCAAGUCGAACGCUUAGUCUUUAAUUGAUAUGAAGAGCUUGCUCUGAUUUGAUUUUAUCUGACAAAGAGUGGCGAACGGGUGAGUAACACGUGGGUAACCUACCUCUUAGCAGGGGAUAACAUUUGGAAACAAGUGCUAAUACCGCAUAACACUAACAACCGCAUGGUUGUUAGUUGAAAGAUGGCUCUGCUAUCACUAAGAGAUGGACCCGCUGUGCAUUAGCUAGUUGGUAAGGUAAUGGCUUACCAAGGCGAUGAUGCGUAGCCGAGUUGAGAGACUGAUCGGCCACAAUGGGACUGAGACACGGCCCAUACUCCUACGGGAGGCAGCAGUAGGGAAUCUUCCACAAUGGGCGCAAGCCUGAUGGAGCAACGCCGCGUGUGUGAUGAAGGGUUUCGGCUCGUAAAACACUGUUAUAAGAGAAGAACGACAUUGAGAGUAACUGUUCAGUGUGUGACGGUAUCUUAUCAGAAAGGAACGGCUAAAUACGUGCCAGCAGCCGCGGUAAUACGUAUGUUCCAAGCGUUAUCCGGAUUUAUUGGGCGUAAAGCGAGCGCGGACGGUUAUUUAAGUCUGAAGUGAAAGCCCUCAGCUCAACUGAGGAAGGGCUUUGGAAACUGGAUGCCUUGAGUGCAGUAGAGGAAAGUGGAACUCCAUGUGUAGCGGUGAAAUGCGUAGAUAUAUGGAAGAACACCGGUGGCGAAAGCGGCUUUCUGGACUGUAACUGACGUUGAGGCUCGAAAGUGUGGGUAGCAAACAGGAUUAGAUACCCUGGUAGUCC
This 831-nucleotide ribosomal RNA is filed under the name uncultured bacterium. RNAcentral's name for it is "bacterial SSU rRNA". It matches the Rfam family "Bacterial small subunit ribosomal RNA", at positions 8 to 796 of the family's 1533-position model. The record is from RNAcentral.